Molecule: ribosomal RNA, 261 nt
Filed under: uncultured bacterium
Lineage: Bacteria
Description: partial 16S ribosomal RNA
Rfam family: Bacterial small subunit ribosomal RNA
Source: RNAcentral
GACGUAGGGGGCGAGCGUUGUCCGGAUUCAUUGGGCGUAAAGCGCGCGUAGGCGGCCCGUUAAGUCGGUUGUGAAAACCCGAGGCUCAACCUCGGGCCUGCAUCCGAUACUGGCGGGCUGGAGGCAGGUAGGGGAGAUCGGAAUUCCCGGUGUAGCGGUGAAAUGCGCAGAUAUCGGGAGGAACACCAAUGGCGAAGGCAGCUCGCUGGGACGUUACUGACGCUGAGACGCGAAAGCGUGGGGAGCAAACAGGAUUAGAAA